UACGUAGGGUGCGAGCGUUGUCCGGAAUUACUGGGCGUAAAGGGCUCGUAGGUGGCCAACUAAGUCAGACGUGAAAUCCCUCAGCUUAACUGGGGAACUGCGUCUGAUACUGGAUGGCUUGAGUUUGGGAGAGGGAUGCGGAAUUCCAGGUGUAGCGGUGAAAUCCGUAGAUAUUCGGAAGAACACCAGUGGCGAAGGCGGCUCUCUGGGACGGUACUGACGCUGAGACGCGAAAGCGUGGGGAGCGAACAGG
Molecule: ribosomal RNA, 253 nt
Filed under: uncultured bacterium
Lineage: Bacteria
Description: partial 16S ribosomal RNA
Rfam family: Bacterial small subunit ribosomal RNA
Source: RNAcentral